CCUACGGGAGGCAGCAGUGAGGAAUAUUGGUCAAUGGCCGGAAGGCUGAACCAGCCAAGCCGCGUGAGGGAGGAAGGCGCAGAGCGUCGCAGACCUCUUUUGCCGGGGGACAAAAGGCCGGACGGGUCCGGUUCUGAGGGUACCCGGAGAAAAAGCAUAGGAUAACUCCGUGCCAGCCGACGCGGUAAUACGGGGGAUGCGAGCGUUAUACGGAUUCAUUGGGUUUAUGGGGUGCGCCGGCGGGCCUUUAAGCCGGCGGUGAAAUCGCGGGGCCAAACCCCGCCGAGCCGGCGGAACUGGGGGCCUUGAGUGCCGCGGAGGCAGGCGGAAUGCGCGGUGUAGCGGUGAAAUGCAUAGAUAUCGCGCAGAACCCCGAUUGCGAAGGCAGCGUGCCGGGCCGCCACUGACGCUGAGGCACGAAAGCGCGGGGAGCGAACAGGAUUAGAUACCCUUGUAGUC
Molecule: ribosomal RNA, 459 nt
Filed under: uncultured bacterium
Lineage: Bacteria
Description: partial 16S ribosomal RNA
Rfam family: Bacterial small subunit ribosomal RNA
Source: RNAcentral